UACGUAGGGUGCGAGCGUUAAUCGGAAUUACUGGGCGUAAAGGGUGCGCAGGCGGCCGUGUGCGUCAGAGGUGAAAUCUCCGGGCUUAACCCGGAGGGUGCCUUUGAUACGGCAUGGCUUGAGUCCGAGAGAGGGUGAUGGAAUUCCUGGUGUAGCAGUGAAAUGCGUAGAUAUCAGGAGGAACACCGGUGGCGAAGGCGGUCACCUGGCUCGGCACUGACGCUUAGGCACGAAAGCGUGGGGAUCAAAC
Molecule: ribosomal RNA, 250 nt
Filed under: uncultured bacterium
Lineage: Bacteria
Description: partial 16S ribosomal RNA
Rfam family: Bacterial small subunit ribosomal RNA
Source: RNAcentral